RNAcentral lists this ribosomal RNA (253 nucleotides) under uncultured bacterium. RNAcentral describes it as "partial 16S ribosomal RNA". It matches the Rfam family "Bacterial small subunit ribosomal RNA", at positions 524 to 776 of the family's 1533-position model. The record is from RNAcentral.
UACGUAGGGUCCGAGCGUUGUCCGGAAUUACUGGGCGUAAAGCGUGCGUAGGUGGUUCGUUAAGUCUGAUGUGAAAGCCCUGGGCUCAACCUGGGAAUGGCAUUGGAAACUGGCGACCUAGAGUGCGGUAGAGGGUAGUGGAAUUCCCGGUGUAGCAGUGAAAUGCGUAGAGAUCGGGAGGAACAUCCGUGGCGAAGGCGACUACCUGGACCAGCACUGACACUGAGGCACGAAAGCGUGGGGAGCAAACAGG